ACAGAAGGGUGCGAGCGUUGUCCUGGAAUCACUGGGGCGUAAAGGGCGCGUAGGCGGUUUUGUAAGUCGGGGGUGAAAUGCUGCGGCUCAACCGCAGCGCUGCCUUCGAGACUGCAAGACUGGAGCACGGUAGAGGCGGAUGGAAUUCCCGGUGUAGCGGUGGAAUGCGUAGAGAUCGGGAAGAACACCAAUGGCGAAGGCAGUCCGCUGGGCCGUUGCUGACGCUGAGGCGCGACAGCGUGGGGAGCAAACAGGAUUAGAUACCCUGGUAGUCCACGCCGUAAACGAUGGGCACUAGGCGUCGGGGGGAGCGACCCUCCCGGUGCCGUCGCUAACGCAGUAAGUGCCCCGCCUGGGGAGUACGGCCGCAAGGUUG
RNAcentral lists this ribosomal RNA (376 nucleotides) under uncultured bacterium. RNAcentral describes it as "bacterial SSU rRNA". It matches the Rfam family "Bacterial small subunit ribosomal RNA", at positions 523 to 896 of the family's 1533-position model. The record is from RNAcentral.